This 468-nucleotide ribosomal RNA is filed under the name uncultured bacterium. Its description in RNAcentral is "partial 16S ribosomal RNA". It matches the Rfam family "Bacterial small subunit ribosomal RNA", at positions 28 to 507 of the family's 1533-position model. The record is from RNAcentral.
GACGAACGCUGGCGGCGGGCUUAACACAUGCCAGUCGAACGGAAAGGCCCUGCUUUUGUGGGGUGCUCGAGUGGCGAACGGGGGAGUAACACGUGAGUAACCUGCCCUUGACUUUGGGAUAACUUCAGGAAACUGGGGCAAUUCCGGGUAAGGAUUUCUCGCUGUUGGGGGGGGUUGGGAAUGUUUGGGCGGUUGGGGUUGGUCACGGGGCUUAUAGGCUUGGUGGUGGGGUAGUGGUGUACCAAGGCUUUGACGGGUUGCCGGCCUGAGAGGGUGACCGGCCACAUUGGGACUGAGAUACGGCACAGACUCCUACGGGAGGCAGCAGUGGGGAAUAUUGCACAAUGGGCGGAAGCCUGAUGCAGCAACGCCGCGUGCGGGAUGACGGCCUUCGGGUUGUAAACCGCUUUCGCCUGUGACGAAGCGUGAGUGACGGUAAUGGGUAAAGAAGCACCGGCUAACUACGUG